Molecule: long non-coding RNA, 287 nt
Filed under: Panicum hallii
Lineage: Eukaryota; Viridiplantae; Streptophyta; Magnoliopsida; Poales; Poaceae
Description: long non-coding RNA (PHAL_LNC000432)
Source: RNAcentral
CAAGGAUAUGAGCACUCAUAUGGAAGGUUUAACGAAACAUCACAUAUUUCUAUUUAAGAUCUAUAUUUUAUGGUUUACUUUUCAGUUAUAACACAAGCAUACAAUAUAAAGCACAAUAAAACAUUCAUUCCCUAACAUUUGACCUAAACCACACAUCAAAGAUUUUCACUCAAGAUCACAACAUAAAACUUGUAGAGUUUGACUUAGGAUUUCAAACAAAACUGAUUUUACAUUUUUAUGAACUUCCUACGGAAAUCUAUGAAAUGUAGAAGUUCAUCGAUUUGAAA